UUGAACGCUGGCGGAAUGCUUUACACAUGCAAGUCGAGCGGCAGCGCGGGGGCAACCCUGGCGGCGAGCGGCGAACGGGUGAGUAACAUAUCGGAACGUACCCAGACGUGGGGGACAACUAGUCGAAAGACUAGCUAAUACCGCAUACGUCCUACGGGAGAAAGCGGGGGCUCGCAAGACCUCGCGCGUUUGGAGCGGCCGAUAUCUGAUUAGCUAGAUGGUGGGGUAAAGGCUCACCAUGGCGACGAUCAGUAGCUGGUCUGAGAGGAUGAGCAGCCACACUGGAACUGAGACACGGUCCAGACUCCUACGGGAGGCAGCAGUGGGGAAUUUUGGACAAUGGGGGAAACCCUGAUCCAGCCAUGCCGCGUGAGUGAAGAAGGCCUUCGGGUUGUAAAGCUCUUUCGGCAGGAACGAAACGGCGGAUACUAAUAUUAUCCGUUACUGACGGUACCUGAAGAAGAAGCACCGGCUAACUACGU
RNAcentral lists this ribosomal RNA (482 nucleotides) under uncultured bacterium. Its description in RNAcentral is "bacterial SSU rRNA". It matches the Rfam family "Bacterial small subunit ribosomal RNA", at positions 30 to 506 of the family's 1533-position model. The record is from RNAcentral.